UUAAGUGACUAAGCGUACAAGGUGGAUGCCUUGGCAAUCAGAGGCGAAGAAGGACGUGCUAAUCUGCGAAAAGCUUGGAUGAGUCGAUAAGAGGCGUUUAAUCCAAGAUAUCCGAAUGGGGAAACCCAGUAGAUGAAGAAUCUACUAUCAACAAGUGAAUUCAUAGCUUGUUGAGGCAAACCGGGAGAACUGAAACAUCUAAGUACCCCGAGGAAAAGAAAUCAACCGAGAUUUCGUCAGUAGCGGCGAGCGAAAGCGAAAGAGCCAGUAAGUGAUAGCAGUAUAGUGAGGAGAAUGUGUUGGGAAACACAAUCAAAGAGGGUGAUAAUCCCGUAUCUAAAAACCAUAUUGUGGUACUAAGCUAACGAGAAGUAGGGCGGGACACGUGAUAUCCUGUUUGAAGAAGGGGGGACCAUCCUCCAAGGCUAAAUACUCCUGAUUGACCGAUAGUGAACCAGUACUGUGAAGGAAAGGCGAAAAGAACCCCGGUGAGGGGAGUGAAAUAGAACCUGAAACCUUGUACGUACAAGCAGUGGGAGCCCCAUCACUUAAUCCGAUUGGAAGGUGAUGAAAAGCAACCGCACUUAAACAAUGGUAAGAGGAGCGAAGCGAGUCAAACCACCCAAAAGAAGCAGUGGGAUUAAGUGAUGGGGUGACUGCGUACCUUUUGUAUAAUGGGUCAGCGACUUAUAUUUUGUAGCGAGGUUAACCGAAUAGGGGAGCCGAAGGGAAACCGAGUCUUAACUGGGCGAAUAGUUGCAAGGUAUAGACCCGAAACCCGGUGAUCUAGCCAUGGGCAGGUUGAAGGUUGGGUAACACUAACUGGAGGACCGAACCGACUAAUGUUGAAAAAUUAGCGGAUGACUUGUGGCUGGGGGUGAAAGGCCAAUCAAACCGGGAGAUAGCUGGUUCUCCCCGAAAUCUAUUUAGGUAGAGCCUUGAGGUGACACCUUUGGGGGUAGAGCACUGUUUCGGCUAGGGGGCCAUCCCGGCUUACCAACCCGAUGCAAACUACGAAUACCAAAGAGUGAUACUCAGGAGACACACGGCGGGUGCUAACGUCCGUCGUGGAGAGGGAAACAACCCAGACCGCCAGCUAAGGUCCCCAAGUCUAUAUUAAGUGGGAAACGAAGUGGGAAGGCUUAGACAGCUAGGAUGUUGGCUUAGAAGCAGCCAUCAUUUAAAGAAAGCGUAAUAGCUCACUAGUCGAGUCGGCCUGCGCGGAAGAUGUAACGGGGCUGAAAUAUAGCACCGAAGCUGCGGCAUCAGAAUUUAUUCUGUUGGGUAGGGGAGCGUUGUGUAAGCGGAAGAAGGUUCAUCGAGAGGUGGGCUGGACGUAUCACAAGUGCGAAUGCUGACAUAAGUAACGAUAAAACGGGUGAAAAACCCGUUCGCCGGAAGACCAAGGGUUCCUGUCCAACGUUAAUCGGGGCAGGGUGAGUCGGCUCCUAAGGCGAGGCUGAAAAGCGUAGUCGAUGGGAAACAGGUUAAUAUUCCUGUACUUGGUAAAGCUGCGAUGUGGGGACGGAGUAGGUUAGGUUAUCGCACUGUUGGAUAUGUGCGUUUAAGUUGGUAGGUGGGAAGUUUAGGCAAAUCCGGACUUCCUUAACACAGAGAGAUGAUGACGAGGCUCUACGGAGCUGAAGUAACUGAUACCACACUUCCAGGAAAAGCCACUAAGCGAAAGGCUUUACUAAACCGUACUGAAAACCGACACAGGUGGUCAGGUAGAGAAUACUCAGGCGCUUGAGAGAACUCGGGUGAAGGAACUAGGCAAAAUAGCACCGUAACUUCGGGAGAAGGUGCGCCGGCGUAGAUUGUAAGGGCUAGCCCCUGAAGGUUGAACCGGUCGAAGAUACCAGCUGGCUGCAACUGUUUAUUAAAAACACAGCACUCUGCAAACACGAAAGUGGACGUAUAGGGUGUGAUGCCUGCCCGGUGCUGGAAGGUUAAUUGAUGGUGUAAUCGCAAGAGAAGCACCUGAUCGAAGCCCCAGUAAACGGCGGCCGUAACUAUAACGGUCCUAAGGUAGCGAAAUUCCUUGUCGGGUAAGUUCCGACCUGCACGAAUGGCAUAAUGAUGGCCAGGCUGUCUCCACCCGAGACUCAGUGAAAUUGAAAUCGCCGUGAAGAUGCGGUGUACCCGCGGCUAGACGGAAAGACCCCGUGAACCUUUACUAUAGCUUGACACUGAACAUUGAAUUUUGAUGUGUAGGAUAGGUGGGAGACUUAGAAGUAGGAACGCCAGUUUCUAUGGAGUCAUCCUUGAAAUACCACCCUUUAACGUUUGAUGUUCUAACGAAGAUUGCGGAACGCGGUCUCGGACAGUGUCUGGUGGGUAGUUUGACUGGGGCGGUCUCCUCCCAAAGCGUAACGGAGGAGCACGAAGGUUUGCUAAUCACGGUCGGACAUCGUGAGGUUAGUGCAAUGGUAUAAGCAAGCUUAACUGCGAGACAGACAAGUCGAGCAGGUACGAAAGUAGGUCAUAGUGAUCCGGUGGUUCUGAAUGGAAGGGCCAUCGCUCAACGGAUAAAAGGUACUCCGGGGAUAACAGGCUGAUACCGCCCAAGAGUUCAUAUCGACGGCGGUGUUUGGCACCUCGAUGUCGGCUCAUCACAUCCUGGGGCUGAAGUAGGUCCCAAGGGUAUGGCUGUUCGCCAUUUAAAGUGGUACGCGAGCUGGGUUUAGAACGUCGUGAGACAGUUCGGUCCCUAUCUGCCGUGGGCGUUGGAUGAUUGAUUGGGGCUGCUCCUAGUACGAGAGGACCGGAGUGGACGCAUCACUGGUGUUCCGGUUGUGUCGCCAGACGCAUUGCCGGGUAGCUAAAUGCGGAAGAGAUAAGUGCUGAAAGCAUCUAAGCACGAAACUUGCCAAGAGAUGAGUCAUCCCUGACUUUAAGUCAGUAAGGGUUGUUGUAGACUACGACGUAGAUAGGUUGGGUGUGUAAGUGAUGUGAGUCAUUGAGCUAACCAAUACUAAUUGCCCGAGAGGCUUAACUAU
RNAcentral lists this ribosomal RNA (2999 nucleotides) under Haemophilus influenzae. RNAcentral describes it as "23S ribosomal RNA". It matches the Rfam family "Bacterial large subunit ribosomal RNA". Lineage: Bacteria; Pseudomonadati; Pseudomonadota; Gammaproteobacteria; Pasteurellales; Pasteurellaceae. The record is from RNAcentral.